This 800-nucleotide ribosomal RNA is filed under the name uncultured Bacteroidota bacterium. RNAcentral's name for it is "bacterial SSU rRNA". It matches the Rfam family "Bacterial small subunit ribosomal RNA", at positions 527 to 1331 of the family's 1533-position model. The record is from RNAcentral. Lineage: Bacteria; Pseudomonadati; Bacteroidota.
GGAGGAUCCGAGCGUUAUCCGGAUUUAUUGGGUUUAAAGGGUGCGUAGGCGGCCUUGUAAGUCAGGAGUGAAAGACGGUAGCUUAACUAUCGCAGUGCCUUUGAUACUGCAGGGCUUGAAUGUACUUGAGGUAGGCGGAAUGUGACAAGUAGCGGUGAAAUGCAUAGAUAUGUCACAGAACACCAAUUGCGAAGGCAGCUUACUAAAGUAUGAUUGACGCUGAGGCACGAAAGCGUGGGGAUCAAACAGGAUUAGAUACCCUGGUAGUCCACGCCCUAAACGAUGAAUACUCGAUGUUGGCGAUAUACAGUCAGCGUCAAAGCGAAAGCGUUAAGUAUUCCACCUGGGGAGUACGCCCGCAAGGGUGAAACUCAAAGGAAUUGACGGGGGCCCGCACAAGCGGAGGAGCAUGUGGUUUAAUUCGAUGAUACGCGAGGAACCUUACCCGGGCUUGAAAGUUAGUGAAUGAUACAGAGACGUAUCAGCCCGCAAGGGCACGAAACUAGGUGCUGCAUGGCUGUCGUCAGCUCGUGCCGUGAGGUGUUGGGUUAAGUCCCGCAACGAGCGCAACCCCUGUGUUUAGUUGCCAGCACGUAAUGGUGGGGACUCUAAACAGACUGCCUAUGCAAAUAGAGAGGAAGGAGGGGACGACGUCAAGUCAUCAUGGCCCUUACGUCCGGGGCUACACACGUGCUACAAUGGGCAGUACAGAGGGCAGCUACCGUGCAAGCGGGUGCCAAUCUCAAAAAGCUGUUCACAGUUCGGAUCGGGGUCUGCAACUCGACCCCGUGAAGUUGGAU